Molecule: RNA transcript, 1070 nt
Organism: Aricia agestis (brown argus)
Lineage: Eukaryota; Metazoa; Arthropoda; Insecta; Lepidoptera; Lycaenidae
Exons: 4
Source: RefSeq, a predicted model, not a curated record
AAAAAUGCAAUUUUAUUUGUUUACGUUGGUCAUUGGUGUUGAGAACUAGAAUUUUUUGUGAAAAAAAUCUACGAACACUUCAACCACCAAUGUUAAAACUGCAUUAGGGCGAAACACUUGAGUUUUGAGCAAUAAAUCUCGGUUAAUUUGGUGGCUCACACAAGCUGCGUUGUGGGAAGUUUAUGGAAACUCACCAAGACGAAAAAAAUUAAGUUUUACGAUGGAAUUCGAUUUUAGCAAAGUUUUUUACUGCUCUCGUUUUGUUAGGAUUGUGUUGUUCUUCAAAUCAGUGGCUCUUUGCAUCGCAAGACGUAAAGUCUCGAAAUUUUUGAACUUGCAUAAAGUUUUUGGAAUUACUGAGUACAAUGGAGAAACGUCUGCCUAGCAGAGUGUCUGAGGGUCAGUGGAAUAUUUUAAUAGAUUUCCUUGAGCAACACCCUAAUCUAGCUAGAGCACGUGGAUACAACAACAGUGCGCAUGGAAGAGCUGAGUCAUUCCGCUUGUGGCAAGAGGUGGCUAACUCGUUGAAUGCAGAAGGUUCUGGUACAACUAAAUCUCCGAAGGAAUGGUCUGUUAACAUCGGAGGAAGCAGUUCCAGUGGAAAUUGAAGAGGAACUUCUAGUACUACCUUUGGAGAUACCUAAUAAUGACAACAGGCCAUUAUUGCCUAGACAAAGAAGGCAAAAAAGGGUUCGCACUCGGCCACUAGCUCCUUUAGAUGAGGCACGGAGAAUACUCUCCCAAGUUGAGAUGCAGCGUGCUGCAGCAGAUGCUGCUAGUGCUGAAGGUCUUCAAAAUAUAGGACUUAAUUUAGGACGUUUAGCUAAUAUAGCUGAGCAAUACUUUCAAUACAUAGUUUCUCUUAGACCUGCAUAAAAGGUCUAAUGAUAAAAUAUGAUAUCGGCAGGUUUCUGUUUCCUUGAUAAUUAGUACUUAACCAUUAUAUUUUCAUAACGAUUUUAAAAUUGAAAUGUUAUACUUUAUAUUUGAUAUCUUGGGAUUAAAAAUAUGGACAUUACUUUACUUACUUUUUUCUUUUAGAACAUCAUAAUUACAAAAUUUUAACUUGU